GGGAGUAUAACUCAGUUGAUAGAGUAUUUGCCUAUCGUGCACAAAGCCCUGGGUUCAAUCCCCAGCACCA
This 70-nucleotide transfer RNA is filed under the name Neotoma lepida (desert woodrat). It matches the Rfam family "tRNA". Rfam says of the family: Transfer RNA (tRNA) molecules are approximately 80 nucleotides in length. Their secondary structure includes four short double-helical elements and three loops (D, anti-codon, and T loops). Lineage: Eukaryota; Metazoa; Chordata; Mammalia; Rodentia; Cricetidae. The record is from Rfam by way of RNAcentral.